Molecule: long non-coding RNA, 667 nt
Organism: Cryptomeria japonica (Japanese cedar)
Lineage: Eukaryota; Viridiplantae; Streptophyta; Pinopsida; Cupressales; Cupressaceae
Exons: 2
Source: RefSeq, a predicted model, not a curated record
UCGACUUUUGCAUUCUGAUAUAUUUUCUUAAAAGCUUUGAAUGAAAAAAGGGCUUUUGGCGUGACUGGAGUCUUCACGGAGAAGCAAGAACAAUCACGUUUUUGCUGUGAGCUUUGCUGAAAGGAAAUUCGCGUGAAGGAUAGAGGCGGUUUUUGGUAAAGAGUCUAGUAUUAAGGCGUACCACAGGAGGAAAAAACAUGUUUUGAAAUACAUAAGGGAUGGGAGAAAAGAAACGAUUCAUGUUAAAGUUUAAGCUCUACUAUUUGUGAUAAACAGCCUACCAUUUAUUAUCAUUGCUCCACAUUUCGAAGUUUAGAGGGUUUGCUUGAGAAGGGCGCUGGAAUACAUUCUCUAACAUGAAUCUUCAUUUCACAAGUCAUGUUUAAGUUUAACCCUAACGCCUCAGUAUUAUUCCGCCUUUACAUUCAGCAUUGAGAAAUUUGAAGUGGGGUUUCUUUGUGUUUUGGGUUAAGAAUAUUAGGAAGUUAAUUUCAUUCUUCCAAAUCUGUUCUUAAUCGAUGAAGAAGGGCUUUUAUAGUUGUUAAAUGUAAUUCCUAAUACCCUGAAAAGAUGUAAUAUGUAUUUAUAUAUACAUAUUUGUAUAUAUAAAUAUAUUUACAAAUAUGUAUGUAUAAAUACAUAUAAAUCCGAGGAUAAUUAUUUUGUC